CCUACGGGAGGCAGCAGUGAGGAAUAUUGGUCAAUGGCCGGAAGGCUGAACCAGCCAUGCCGCGUGAAGGUCAGUGCCCUAUGGGCGUUAAACUUCUUUUGUGCGGGAGCAAUAAUGGUCACGUGUGGCCAGACGAGAGUACCGUACGAAUAAGCAACGGCUAACUCCGUGCCAGCAGCCGCGGUAAUACGGGGGAUGCAAGCGUUAUCCGGAUUUAUUGGGGUUAAAGGGUGCGUAGGCUGUGAGGUAAGUCAGCGGUGAAAUGCCCCGGCUCAACGGGGUGAAGUGCCAUUGAUACUGCCUUGCUGGAAUGCGGAUGCCGUGGGAGGAAUGCGUGGUGUAGCGGUGAAAUGCAUAGAUAUCACACAGAACACCGAUUGCGAAGGCAUCUCACGAAUCCGCGAUUGACGCUGAUGCACGAAAGCGUGGGUAUCAAACAGGAUUAGAUACCCGAGUAGUC
RNAcentral lists this ribosomal RNA (460 nucleotides) under uncultured bacterium. RNAcentral describes it as "partial 16S ribosomal RNA". It matches the Rfam family "Bacterial small subunit ribosomal RNA", at positions 338 to 795 of the family's 1533-position model. The record is from RNAcentral.